GCCCGUCCAUCCGCGGGAGGCGGGGCUGAAGGGGGCCGGUCCGGGCCAGCGACCAAUCGGAAGCGGUGGCAGCGUGGGCGGCUGCGUGACGGACAGGCGGCAGGACGCUGUCGCCGCAGCUUCUUCCGGCUAGCUGGGGGACGCCGAGGCUGCGGAGCGCACGCCUGGGCUCCGUCAGAGGGCCGCGCCCGCGCGACGACCGCGUGCCAGCUAGUGGGAGGCGGGCGAGGACCCCUGGGGGUGUCCCUCCCUGACCCAGACGGGAGGAGGGGACUCCUCAGGCUGUUUUGUAAAAUGCGUCGAUGUCACCCUUCCGGCUAUUGCUCCUGACUGUGGACAAGAUUAAGAAAAAAAAGAGGUCACAGAUAAAUAUCGUGCCAAAACGGCGUGGACUUGGAACUGACCUCCAGGUGUGAUGUCAUUAUUUAACUCGAGAAAUCACAGCUUCUGCAUCCUACUAUUCUGCCAAUAUUCACAAGCCAAGAGGCUCAAUUUAACACCCUGGUAGAAAAAGAGAAGCCUUUAAUAUUGCUUGAACAGGGAAGGAGAGGGAAAAAUGGAACUAACCUUGCUGGGAGGG
Non-coding RNA from Chlorocebus sabaeus (green monkey), 580 nucleotides. Lineage: Eukaryota; Metazoa; Chordata; Mammalia; Primates; Cercopithecidae. The record is from RefSeq and is a predicted model, not a curated record.